RNAcentral lists this ribosomal RNA (493 nucleotides) under uncultured bacterium. Its description in RNAcentral is "partial 16S ribosomal RNA". It matches the Rfam family "Bacterial small subunit ribosomal RNA", at positions 28 to 507 of the family's 1533-position model. The record is from RNAcentral.
GACGAACGCUGGCGGCGUGCUUAACACAUGCCAGUCGAACGGUGAAGGGACCGGUUUUUGCUGGUUCUGGAUGAGUGGCGAACGGGUGAGUAACACGUGAGUAACCUGCCCCCUUCUUCUGGAUAACCGCAUGAAAGUGUGGCUAAUACGGGAUAUUCUGCGCCUGCUGCAUGGUGGGUGUGGGAAAGAUAUUGUUUCGGUGGGGGAUGGGCUCGCGGCCUAUCAGCUUGUUGGUGGGGUGAUGGCCUACCAAGGCGGUGACGGGUAGCCGGCCUGAGAGGGUGGACGGUCACACUGGGAAUGAGGCACGGCCCAGACUCCUACGGGAGGCAGCAGUGGGGAAUAUUGCACAAUGGGCGCAAGCCUGAUGCAGCGACGCCGCGUGAGGGAUGGAGGCCUUCGGGUUGUAAACCUCUUUCGCCAGUGAAGCAGGCCUGUCCCUUUUGUGGGUGGGUUGACGGUAGCUGGAUAAGAAGCGCCGGCUAACUACGUG